This is a small nuclear RNA of Suncus etruscus (white-toothed pygmy shrew), 157 nucleotides long. RefSeq annotates it as U1 spliceosomal RNA. NCBI's taxonomy places the organism in Eukaryota, Metazoa, Chordata, Mammalia, Eulipotyphla, Soricidae. The transcript has a single exon. The record is from RefSeq and is a predicted model, not a curated record.
AUACUUACCUGGCAGGGGAGAUAACCAUGAUCAUGAAAGUGGACCCAGGGCGAAGUUUAUCCAUUGCACUUGGUGUGCUGACCCCAGCGAGUUCCCCAAAUGUGGGAAACUCAACUGCAUAAUAUGUAGUAGUUCCGCUCUCCCCUGAGGGGAAAAA